CACUUCAGGGCUAACCAGAAGUUAAAGCAUAUUACUGAGGGCAUUAUCCAAGUGCCUCUUGAACCCUGACCGCCCCGAUGGGGUAUCAACCACCUCUCCAGGAAGCCUGCUCCAGUGUUUGACCACCCUCAUGGCAAAGAAAUUUUCCCUACCGUCCAGUCUGACCCUGCCCUGGUGCAGCGUUGUGCCCUUCCCAUGCAUCCCAUCAUCGGUGACAGGAGCAGAGGCCGGCACCUCCUCUGUGCUUCCCUUCCUUGGGGAGUUGCAGAGAGCCAUGGGGUCGCCUCUCAGCCUCCAGGCUGCAGGGCCAGCUGUUCCCAAAACCUGCACUUACAGCUGUGAGGUAAAGCUUGCUUAGCCUUGCUGCAUGGAAGAUGAAAGCUGUGACUUUCUGCCGUGGGGUAUAGAUGAUGCCCUGCUACACUAUCACAAAAGAUUUUUGUUGUUGUUCUGUUUGGACUCACCCAGAAUUCAGACUGCUGGGAUGCAGAACAGCAAAACCAAUGUCAAGAGAUCAGGGCAAUAUUCUUACGGAUAUCCUGUUAUACAAACCUCAGUGUGAAACCUUCCCAGUGUGAGCACUGCCCCUUUUCCUCAGACUUAAAUUAGACAUCUCCUGUUUCAACAUCUAAUGGUAUCUGACCUUUGUUCUGAGGGAGUCCAGCAACAGUUCAAAGCAAUAAGUUGGUAGGGAGGUUGUUUAAACUGCUGUUGUCCCUAUUACAGGUUAUCUGGAAGGGGAUUCCUAAAAAUGAUGGGACAUUUCAUGACUCUCGAAAACCUUGUGGAAGUCAGCAGCCUUGUAAUGGACUCGAGCAUCCUUCUUACAGAUCACCGCAGAACUGAAGACGUCUUGGGAAGCCUAAGCUCCACCUCAAGCCACUUUCACGGUAUUACAUUGUUUACUAAACCUCAGGUCAGGGUCCCACAUGGGAAUCCUUCACAGACAUUAAACAAUUAGUACAAGAGAGAAUAUCAAUGAGCCAGAAAGCAGCAGCAGGCAUGAAAAUCCAACCCUCUGGACUGGUCUGAUCAAAAGUGACAGGCUUGCUUAAUGUAAAACCCAAAAGGCACAGCUACUCAGUUAAUUUUUACCUAGGCACCUUUCUACUCUUCUGGAAGCAAAACAAUGUGUCCUGCACUUGCUGGAAAUCGUGGUGGUGUGUGUCAACUGCUCCUCACCCAAGAAUGAUCAGCUCACCAUCACAGGUAACUGUGAAGAUGGUGUGAAAUACAAGCUGUCCUGCUGGCAUGUGUUGCAGAUUAAGUAUUCCAAAAGCAUAAGGAACCAUUCCUGCCUUUCCAUAACACCACCCAAGAGGAGCAAAGCAGAAUGAGCCUUAUGAUACAGUGUGUUCUUUUUCUCUGGAAAGAAGGGAUGAAGUCCAGUUAGAAAGCUAAACUAUACCACAUCACCUGGCAGCAGAGGUAAGUGAGGCCCACAACCCCUUCAGGACGGAGUUUUGGACAUGGAGACUGGCAUAUAUACU
Long non-coding RNA from Oxyura jamaicensis (ruddy duck), 1490 nucleotides. RefSeq lists it as uncharacterized. NCBI's taxonomy places the organism in Eukaryota, Metazoa, Chordata, Aves, Anseriformes, Anatidae. The transcript is spliced from 3 exons. The record is from RefSeq and is a predicted model, not a curated record.